Molecule: RNA transcript, 3094 nt
Organism: Ictidomys tridecemlineatus (thirteen-lined ground squirrel)
Lineage: Eukaryota; Metazoa; Chordata; Mammalia; Rodentia; Sciuridae
Gene: Cimap2
Gene name: ciliary microtubule associated protein 2
Source: RefSeq, a predicted model, not a curated record
GCGCUGCCAGCAGUGGAAGCCAGGCGCCCGCAGGACUCGCGGCCCGGGCCACGCCAGCGCCAUGUAUGCGGCCAAGUGGUUCCAAGGGGCGCCCUUUGGGGUGCAGAGCCACAGAUUUGAUGUGUCUGCUGUUUAUCCCAACCAGAAGAAAUACAGCACCUUCACAGAGACCCCGUACUCCACGCAUCAUUCUGUGGAAGUGUCCCACAUAGGACCUGGAACCUAUAGCUCCAAGGAGACCUGCUUCAGCAAAAAGAAGCUGAAGAAGGAGGUGGACACAGGCUGGGCUCUGGCCCAGCAAGCCAUCCGGCUGACCCAGCUGCCCCACUUCCGGUACCAGACCGUUGUGAGAGAGAGGAAGUUGCAGGAGCAAAAGCUGGGGCCUGGCUCUUACAACUUCAAAGACUUCUUACAACAGUUGCAGCAGAAGCCAGGCAGCAAGCGGGGGCUGCUUAGCUCUGGGGAGAUCCGCUUCCGUGGUCUCAUUGGGAACUAUUAUCCAGGCCCCGGGAAUUAUGGGGAGAAGGGCAACCCAUACACGCGGCUGGAGGAGAAUGCCUGGAACCGGUCCCAUUCCGAGGGCCUCAUGUGCAGGAUGUCAAACAAGUCACCACCUGAGGCUCCUCAGGGGAGUGGUUUAGGACCUGGCACCUACUCCUUCAAAACUGGCAUCGAGACCUACCUGGCACGAUCUACUGGCACCCGCGGCCCCUAUGACAUUUUCUCUGGUGACCGAAGCAAGCCCCUGCCUUUUGGACAUUACUCUGUGCAGAAAAAAAGGCCCAGGGAAUUGAUGAAUUACAAGAGCUUCGUGGAUGAACUUAACUCACGUCACAAUAAGAAGCAUGGAGUUUUUUCAGAAAUUCCCCGCGACCCGAAAACCCCUCCAGAGAGAAUUUACUGGUCCACCCUUAGCCAGUGCCCCCGAAAACUAAACACAUCUGGCCCUGGUUCAUGGCUUCCUCAAGAGACGGAGAUCAAACACGUCAACCGGCCGCCAUUCCUCGUGGCCUCUAAGCGUUCAGGUGUAAAGACCAACCAGAUAGUUUUGGGAAGCUGGAACCCAGUAGGGGUGGGCCGCUACCUCAAUACCACGCGGUUGGAGAACAAGGACACACGGCAGCGAUACCGGUCCCUGUACAUGGGUGAACCCAAGCGCUACCUCUCAGAUCUGAACCGGGACAGGAUCAUGCAGGAAAGGAUCACACCUUUUACAAAGGGCAGGUGCCCUCCAACUGUGGAUUAUAAUUCAAAUCCUACUCCUUAAAGCCACGUGGGAAGAACAGCUAUGGUGACUGGAGGGCCCAAAGCUUGAAGACAGAUGGGUGUCUUACAGAGAGCAGUUGCUUUCUCAACCGUGUCAGAGAGCAGUCCUGGAAGAAGUCAGACCAUCUUUAUUCACGAACAGCAACAUCAGCUCCGUAAAGUCCUCUUGAAUCUUCCAAAAAGCUAUGAGGUCUGAGAAGUCAUUUUUGUAACAUUACAACAAAUAAGAUCAAUCUAGCCAAACUGUUUUCAUAUAUAGCAACACACAACAAAAAAGUUGGAAAUUUAAAAUACAACUUAUAUGGCGUGAAAAACUAUGAAACACUUAUUUCGAAUUUUGGCAAAAGAGAUAACAAAGUCUGUACACGAAAAGCAAAGCAAUUAUCACUGCGGGGACAUUAAAGAAGACAGAAAGGGAGAGAUACCACAUUCAUGGGCCACAAUAUUUGAUAUGGGUGUUAAGCUGUUUUCCCCAAAUUAAUCUAUGGAUUGAAUGCAAUGCUAAUCAAAACCUCAGUGAUCUUUCUGUAAAAGUUGACCAGCUGGAGCCGGGGGUGUUGCCUAGGGAGGCCCUUGGUCUGAUCUCCAGCACUGCCCAAAACAAAUACCUGCAGACUGACAAGCUGAUAGCAAAACUUAUACAGAAAUACAAAAGACAUAAAAUAUCCAAAAUAAUUUAGAAAAAGAACAACGCUGUAGGACCAACCUUAUCUUAUUUCUAGACUCAUCAUCACAAAGCUAUAGGAACAAGACAGUGGAAUUGGUGCCAAGAUAGAUGAAAGGAACAGAGCAGAGAAUCCAGGAACAGGAGAUAUGGACAGCUGCACUUCAACAGUGGUGCAAAGUCAACUGGGGGUGGGGUGGGGAUCUUCUCACCAAGUGGUGCUAGAACCAUUGCAUACUAAUCUGCAAAAAAGUGAACUGUGAUCAGCAAGUCCCCUCAUGGACAGAAACUAACUCCGUCUGUGAUACUCAGAAGUACAGUAUAUACUUGAUUUUCCUCUUAUUUUAUGACUCACAGCUCCUAAAACCCUGGGAACCUCCAGAGCGAUGUCUUUUACAUGCUAGUUAGGUGACUGGUCACUGAGGACCCUUAGAUAGCUUUAGGGUGGAGAAUCGUCACCAGAAAGACCCAGGCCUGUUUAAAGAGUUGAAACCUUCAAUCCCACACCCCUGAGGAGGGGAAAGAGGCUGAAGGUUGAGUUGAUCACUAAUGGCCAAGGAUGCAGCAAUCAUGCCUAGUAAUGACCCCUCAUAAAACCCCAGACAGGCUAGGUGUGGAGAGCUUCUAGAUAGCCGGACCCAUGGAAGACACCCAGAGAGAGCAGAGAGGCUCCCCCUCUUUCCCACAUGCCCUGCCCUCCUCAUCUCUUCCAUCUGGACUGUUGAUCUGCACCCUUCAUAAUGUUCUUUAUAAUAUAUGGGUAAAUAUAUGAAAAGCAUUUCCCUGAGGGCUGUGAGCCAUCCUAGCAAGGCAACUGAUCCCAGGAUCCCACACAUCUGGCAUCAGAAGUGUUGAGUGGUGUGUGAGAGGAGGAAUGAGCUGUUUUCCCCUCAGGAUCACAGACCUAAAUUUAAGACCUAAGCUGUGAAAAUUCUAGAAGAAAACACAGGAGGAAAACCUUUGGACAUUAUGUGAGGCAAAAAGUUCUGAGAUGCAGAUUUAACUAUUUAAAAAAAAAUAAAUCAUACAUAUUGUUAAAUUGGACUUAAUUGAAAUUUUUUUUUUUGUUCUUUCAAAGGUGCUAUUAAAAGAAUGAUGUGUCACAGGUUUGGAGAAAAUAUUUGCAAAUCAUAUCUGAUAAAGGACUUAUAUUAUUCAGAAUAU